Molecule: unclassified non-coding RNA, 272 nt
Filed under: Malassezia restricta
Lineage: Eukaryota; Fungi; Basidiomycota; Malasseziomycetes; Malasseziales; Malasseziaceae
Also listed under: 1 other name
Description: partial contains small subunit ribosomal RNA, internal transcribed spacer 1, and 5.8S ribosomal RNA
Source: RNAcentral
UUUCUGUAGGUGAACCUGCAGAAGGAUCAUUAGUGAAGAUUUGGGCAGGCCAUACGGACGCCAAAAAGUGUCCCUGGCCGCCUACACCCACUAUACAUCCACAAACCCGUGUGCACUGUCUUGGAGAAAGGCUUCAGAGAAGUUUUUUGUGGCCUCUCUUGGGGUCUUUCUUCGCUACAAACUCGAAUGGUUAGUAUGAACGUGGAACUUGGUUGGACCGUCACUGGCCAACAAACUAUACACAACUUUCGACAACGGAUCUCUUGGUUCUC